UACAGGGGGGGGCAAGCGUUGUUCGGAAUUACUGGGCGUAAAGGGUUCGUAGGUGGCCACCUAAGUCAGACGUGAAAUCCCUCAGCUUAACUGGGGAACUGCGUCUGAUACUGGGUGGCUUGAGUGCAGGAGAGGAAUGCGGAAUUCCAGGUGUAGCGGUGAAAUGCGUAGAUAUCUGGAGGAAUACCGGUGGCGAAGGCGGCAUCCUGGACCGACAUUGACGCUGAGGAGCGAAAGCUAGGGGAGCGAACAGG
Molecule: ribosomal RNA, 254 nt
Filed under: uncultured bacterium
Lineage: Bacteria
Description: partial 16S ribosomal RNA
Rfam family: Bacterial small subunit ribosomal RNA
Source: RNAcentral